Long non-coding RNA from Mastomys coucha (southern multimammate mouse), 1707 nucleotides. RefSeq lists it as uncharacterized. NCBI's taxonomy places the organism in Eukaryota, Metazoa, Chordata, Mammalia, Rodentia, Muridae. The record is from RefSeq and is a predicted model, not a curated record. The transcript has 5 exons.
UUCUUCUUCAAGCAAAAAGGCCUCUUACUAGUGACCCAAUUGAAGUCUAGCUUUCCAUAGUUGGUUUCUUCUUCAGAUCCCAGGGCCUGUAGGGCCAGCUGGAGCUUCUUGCGAUGCAGUGAAUGUUUGAUGCCAAGCUCCUGAAACAAUAAACAGAACCUUAGAAUUCUAGUCGUCGUCGGUGCUAGAUCUACCAACAAAGAAUAUAGAUCCCUCACAAUGAAGCUUCCCUUCAAGACCAGCCCUGAAUUAAGUUAGAACACUACUUCUCUACUGAAUUAUAGUAUGAACCUCAGGCCAAUGCAGCAUUGCUGAAGUGAAGGCCCAAGUCUACCACAAUGGACUGAGUGAAAUGUUAGACACUGCCUAGGGAUUCAUCUUAUUUUGUGUAGAGGCAGAACGGGAACAGUUACCUUCUCUAGGUCUUGCUGAGAAGCCUGCAAAAGCGUCUGGCCAGAUAUAAUCCAGUGCUUGCCAGAACUCAGGUAGGACCCCAAGCCUUGCUCUGCCAGCCAGCUGCACACCUGCUCCUUGGUCCAUUUGGCAAACGGCAUAUCCAGGUCACUAUGGGAAAUGAGAAACAGCCCUAAGCCAGUCCUGCAGUUUAUAGUCAAUGCUAAGCAACUGCAUACACAAUAGAUAUGGAAAUUCCCUGGCAACACUUAACCAAGAAAAACCUAAUUUUUCAAUUCAAGGUUGGAAAGAUAGUUUCUAAAAUCCCUGUUUUCAAUUCAAAAGAAACUGAAGGACCAACAGGAGCUACUGAGAAAACACUCUACAGAAAAACACAAAGAUGAGCUAUGUAAGAUACAUUUUCCACAUUCAAAAAAACUGCCCAAAGAGCAGACUUCCCAAACUGAAAAUACUGCUCGGCUGAAAGAAAUUCAAGUACACUAUGAAUUCAUUUCGGUAGAAUUAUGGUUUCUCUGUAGCAGAGAACCAAUCACUGAGAAGACAAUGCGCUCCUGCUAAGUACAGGAAGGAACGCUCCAAGUGAGGUUUCUGUUUUCUUUUACUUACACAGCUUUGUUGCUUGAAAAAGACUCACAGUGACAUGGCUAAACUUUUUAAAAAUUAUUAAUUUUACAUUAUGUGUGUGUAUGACAAAAACUUUUUUAAUAGCACAAGAGAGUUCUUUAUUGUACUUAAGAAGACAUAUGGCAAGUGAGAGCAUCUGUUAUCUGAAGCCCGUGUCCAGGGCUCCACCUGUGUGAGAGUCUGCAUUUCCAGCUGAUUAUUCUUUAAAAGGCCCUGCAUCAACACCUUGCUCUGCAUGUUUGCCAACCCCGCCCAAUGCUCAGGAGGAAAUAGGGGUGAGGUCCCACUGUGGUGAGAGGAAGUGAAUCAAAGCAUGAAGGUCACCUGGAUGGUGGACAUGGAACUGGACAGCAAGAAGUCUGACUCCAGAACAUAAUUCUUAUUUUUCCCCCUUCCACUUCUCAGUGCUGGAGUUGGGGUCAGGACCCCAUGUUUGCCAUACAAGAUCUCUGCUGCAACUUAAGAAUUCUCCUUUGGGUCUACAAAUCAGUGAUUUCCAGAAAGUUCCCUGAAGGAUAAACAUAGUUGAUGAGAAGGUCAAAGGGAUGACUGACUGACUCUCCACCAUCUGCUGCCCACAGGAACUGAAAGUCUACACACACAACACAGUCAGUAUCUACAUCUUUUUCUUUUCUUUUCUUUUUUUUAAAGAUUUAUUUAUUAUUAUAC